UGCAGCUUAGUGGUAGAGCACUUGCCUAGCAUGUAGAAGUCCCUGGGUUCAAUCCCCAGAAUUGCAA
This 67-nucleotide transfer RNA is filed under the name Marmota marmota marmota (Alpine marmot). It matches the Rfam family "tRNA". From Rfam's summary of the family: Transfer RNA (tRNA) molecules are approximately 80 nucleotides in length. Their secondary structure includes four short double-helical elements and three loops (D, anti-codon, and T loops). The record is from Rfam by way of RNAcentral. RNAcentral also lists the same sequence under 2 other names. Lineage: Eukaryota; Metazoa; Chordata; Mammalia; Rodentia; Sciuridae.